AGGACUUCAAAGUUCUACAAGAUUUGGAAACAAUUUCUCAGUUACAAGCAUACACAAUCUCAUGAUCCAAUUCUAUCUAAAACAUAAUCAUCCCACACCUAUCAAACACCCAGAAAGAGAUUUUUUUUUUUUUUUUUAAUCUUCAUCCACAUUUUCAUUUCAUUUCUUAGCAAGAGGAGGAAAAAAAGGGUUAAAAAUAGUGAAAAUUAAGAAAAAUACCAAUAUCCUUUCAGGCAGAAAUGAAGAUCAGAUGACCUUUAUUGGAAUUGAAGCAGCAGAGGGUUCGACAUCAGC
RNAcentral lists this unclassified non-coding RNA (294 nucleotides) under Hevea brasiliensis (rubber tree). Lineage: Eukaryota; Viridiplantae; Streptophyta; Magnoliopsida; Malpighiales; Euphorbiaceae. The record is from RNAcentral.